GGAAGUAAAAGCCGUAACAAGGUCUCCGUAGGUGAACCUGCGGGGGGAUCAUUACAGAGUUCAUGCCCUACCGGGUAGAUCUCCCACCCUAUGUUAUUAUUACUUUGUUGCUUUGGCGGGCCGUUAGGCUCCGGCCCGACUACCGGCCCCGGCUGGUAAGCGCCCGCCAGAGGACCCAAAACCCUGAAUAUUAGUGUCGUCUGAGUACUAUAUAAUAGUUAAAACUUUCAACAACGGAUCUCUUGGUUCUG
Molecule: unclassified non-coding RNA, 251 nt
Filed under: plant metagenome
Description: partial contains small subunit ribosomal RNA, internal transcribed spacer 1, and 5.8S ribosomal RNA
Rfam family: Eukaryotic small subunit ribosomal RNA (bases 1-54)
Source: RNAcentral